AUUGAACGCUGGCGGCAGGCCUAACACAUGCAAGUCGAGCGAGCGGCGGACGGGUGAGUAAUGUCUGGGAAACCGCCUGAUGGAGGGGGGUAACUACUGGAAACGGUAGCUAAUACCGCAUACCAUCAGAUGUGCCCAGAUGGGAUUAGCGAGUAGGGGGGGUAACGGCUCACCUAGGCGACGAUCCAUCGCUGGUCUGAGAGGAUGACCAGCCACACUGGAACUGAGACACGGUCCAGAUUCCUACGGGAGGCAGCAGUGGGGAAUAUUGCACAAUGGGCGCAAGCCUGAUGCAGCCAUGCCGCGUGUGUGAAGAAGGCCUUCGGGUUGUAAAGCACUUUCAGCGGGGAUGCGUUACCCGCAGAAGAAGCACCGGCUAACUCCGUGCCAGCAGCCGCGGUAAUUC
RNAcentral lists this ribosomal RNA (406 nucleotides) under uncultured bacterium. Its description in RNAcentral is "partial 16S ribosomal RNA". It matches the Rfam family "Bacterial small subunit ribosomal RNA", at positions 30 to 526 of the family's 1533-position model. The record is from RNAcentral.